UACGUAGGGUGCGAGCGUUAAUCGGAAUUACUGGGCGUAAAGCGUGCGCAGGCGGAUAUACAAGUUAGAUGUGAAAGCCCUGGGCUCAACCUAGGAAUAGCAUUUAAGACUGUAUGUCUAGAGUUUGUCAGAGGGUGGUAGAAUUCCAAGUGUAGCAGUGAAAUGCGUAGAGAUUUGGAGGAAUACCUGUGGCGAAGGCGGCCACCUGGGAUAGAACUGACGCUCAUGCACGAAAGCGUGGGGAGCAAACAGGAUUAGAUACCCUGGUAGUCCACGCCCUAAACGAUGUCUACUUGCUGUUGGUGGGGAACCAUUAGUAGCGAAGCUAACGCGAGAAGUAGACCGCCUGGGGAGUACGGUCGCAAGAUUA
RNAcentral lists this ribosomal RNA (370 nucleotides) under uncultured prokaryote. RNAcentral's name for it is "bacterial SSU rRNA". It matches the Rfam family "Bacterial small subunit ribosomal RNA", at positions 524 to 896 of the family's 1533-position model. The record is from RNAcentral.